This 253-nucleotide ribosomal RNA is filed under the name uncultured bacterium. RNAcentral's name for it is "partial 16S ribosomal RNA". It matches the Rfam family "Bacterial small subunit ribosomal RNA", at positions 524 to 776 of the family's 1533-position model. The record is from RNAcentral.
UACGGAGGGUGCAAGCAUUGAUCGGAAUUACUGGGCGUAAAGGGCGCGUAGGCGGUUCUAUAAGUCGGACGUGAAAUUCCGGGGCUCAACCCCGGAGCUGCGUUUGAAACUGUAGGGCUAGAGUUCAGUUAGGGUAAACGGAAUUCCACGUGUAGCGGUGAAAUGCGUAGAUAUGUGGAAGAACACCGGUGGUGAAGACGGUUUACUGGGCUGAUACUGACGCUGAGGCGCGAAAGCAUGGGGAGCAAACAGG